AUGCUUAUGCGGUACAAAAAAUUAAUUGGAUUAACACAGAGAAGAUUAGCAUGGCAUCUGUGAAAAGGAUGACAUGCAAAUCCGUGAAAAUGUGGGUCUUAAU
Molecule: small nuclear RNA, 103 nt
Organism: Onychostoma macrolepis
Lineage: Eukaryota; Metazoa; Chordata; Actinopteri; Cypriniformes; Cyprinidae
Source: RefSeq, a predicted model, not a curated record